RNAcentral lists this ribosomal RNA (253 nucleotides) under uncultured bacterium. Its description in RNAcentral is "partial 16S ribosomal RNA". It matches the Rfam family "Bacterial small subunit ribosomal RNA", at positions 524 to 776 of the family's 1533-position model. The record is from RNAcentral.
GACGAAGGUGGCAAGCGUUGUUCGGAAUCACUGGGCAUAAAGCGCACGUAGGCGGCGGCGUAAGUUGGGUGUGAAAUCCCUCGGCCUAACCGAGGAACUGCGCCCAGUACUGCGUUGCUUGAGGAUCAAAGGGGUGCAUGGAAUUCCCGGUGGAGCGGUGAAAUGCGUUGAUAUCGGGAGGAACUCCGGCGGCGAAAGCGGUGCACUGGUUGAUUUCUGACGCUGAGGUGCGAAAGCCAGGGGAGCAAACAGG